UACGGAGGGGGCUAGCGUUGUUCGGAAUUACUGGGCGUAAAGCGCACGUAGGCGGCGAUUUAAGUCAGAGGUGAAAGCCCGGGGCUCAACCCCGGAAUAGCCUUUGAGACUGGAUUGCUUGAACAUCGGAGAGGUGAGUGGAAUUCCGAGUGUAGAGGUGAAAUUCGUAGAUAUUCGGAAGAACACCAGUGGCGAAGGCGGCUCACUGGACGAUUGUUGACGCUGAGGCACGAAGGCCAGGGGAGCAAACGGG
This 253-nucleotide ribosomal RNA is filed under the name uncultured bacterium. RNAcentral describes it as "partial 16S ribosomal RNA". It matches the Rfam family "Bacterial small subunit ribosomal RNA", at positions 524 to 776 of the family's 1533-position model. The record is from RNAcentral.